This 637-nucleotide ribosomal RNA is filed under the name uncultured bacterium. RNAcentral's name for it is "bacterial SSU rRNA". It matches the Rfam family "Bacterial small subunit ribosomal RNA", at positions 607 to 1244 of the family's 1533-position model. The record is from RNAcentral.
GCUCAACCGAGGAAGUGCUUCGAAAACUGGUAAACUUGAGUGCAGAAGAGGAAAGUGGAACUCCAUGUGUAGCGGUGGAAUGCGUAGAUAUAUGGAGGAACACCAGUGGCGAAGGCGGCUUUCUGGUCUGUAACUGACGCUGAGAUUCGAAAGCAUGGGUAGCAAACAGGAUUAGAUACCCUGGUAGUCCAUGCCGUAAACGAUGAGUGCUAAGUGUUGGAGGGUUUCCGCCCUUCAGUGCUGCAGCUAACGCAUUAAGCACUCCGCCUGGGGAGUACGACCGCAAGGUUGAAACUCAAAGGAAUUGACGGGGGCCCGCACAAGCGGUGGAGCAUGUGGUUUAAUUCGAAGCAACGCGAAGAACCUUACCAGGUCUUGACAUACCAUGAAAAGCUUAGAGAUAAGUCUUUCCCUUCGGGGACAUGGAUACAGGUGGUGCAUGGUUGUCGUCAGCUCGUGUCGUGAGAUGUUGGGUUAAGUCCCGCAACGAGCGCAACCCUUAUUAUCAGUUGCCAGCAUUCAGUUGGGCACUCUGGUGAGACUGCCGGUGACAAACCGGAGGAAGGUGGGGACGACGUCAAAUCAUCAUGCCCCUUAUGACCUGGGCUACACACGUGCUACAAUGGUCGGUACAACG